This 247-nucleotide long non-coding RNA is filed under the name Elaeis guineensis (African oil palm). RNAcentral's name for it is "long non-coding RNA (EGUI_LNC080673)". Lineage: Eukaryota; Viridiplantae; Streptophyta; Magnoliopsida; Arecales; Arecaceae. The record is from RNAcentral.
CCACCCUCUCUAUCGAGCAUACAUAGGAUGUGCCAGUCUAUCUGAAAUAUUGAUCCCCGACUUAAUGCUCUUACGAUCAAGAAUGUUUAAGAUUAGGGUUUUAGGAUUUUAGGUCUCAUUAGCAUGAUCCAUUCAUAUCUCCUAAAACCAUUGCCCUAAUCUUUAGGAUUCAUCAUAAUCUUAGACAUAAUAAGAUGCAGCUAAUAUGAUGAAUCAGUAUCUCAAAUAAUAAAUAUCAUUUCAUGAG